Molecule: RNA transcript, 1282 nt
Organism: Coffea eugenioides
Lineage: Eukaryota; Viridiplantae; Streptophyta; Magnoliopsida; Gentianales; Rubiaceae
Exons: 4
Source: RefSeq, a predicted model, not a curated record
GCUCCGUCACACGGUCACUGGCAACCGCCAACUAUUCUCCUGUUGUUGUCUACUCUAUCCACCCCAAUCCAUAUAACUUCUCCCCUUUUUCUCCAAUUCUCUCCUCAAAUUCCUACCACCACCACCUCCGAAAUGGCGAUGACGCGUCGUCUCAUUUCUCAAACCCUAAUCUACCACCCCAAAUCAUCAUCUACCCUUCCCCUCUCCCCUCGAAUCCUUGCUCAACGGCACCGUUCCGGCAAACCCCGGGUCACCGCCCAACUCAUAGAAAUCGAGUUGGAUUCUUCUUCCUCUUCAGCUUCAUCUUCUUCCUCCUCCUCUUCCUCCUCCUCGUCCUCCGCGUCAUCGCCGCCGUCGUCGGCUGAUGUGGAGACCAUCAGCGGCGGGAUCAGGAAGCUGGAGGAGGUCAUACAGAACAUAAUCGUGCGCCGGUCCGCUCCCGAUUGGCUUCCGUUUCGACCUGGGUCUUCUUACUGGGUGCCACCUUCGAAUCUCCGGAACCAUCCCUACGGCGGUGUGGUGGAGGUCAUUGGGAAGCUAUCCACUGCUGCGCGGCUCCACAGUGAGGGUCAUCUUGGUCCCAGUCUGAGCCAGGGGAAAUCUACUUCGACUACUUUUGAGUUCGUGACUGACGAUGAAACGCCGGCUUUCCCGUCCUCUCGCGGUUGGCCCUCCACUUCUUAUUUCAUUGAAGGGAGUGCACCAACAUAUCCAGUGUCAAUGGAAGUGGAGAUGGAAGCAGAGGUGAAGGUUCCGGACAACUCAAAGGGUGGUUCUACAGAUGAGGAUGAGGAAGGGUAAUGACAUGUCCUACCUCAAGAGGUUUGUAAGAUGCAUGCAGGUGUUUCACUUACAAGUCACCUUUGGCGUUGCAUUUCUGGGGAAUUUAGAUACUAGAAGAAGCUCGCACUUUGGAGUUGUUUUUUUUCCUGUUAAAAGGGGAAAGGUUAGGAAAGAUGGGCUAGCUGCUGUAACACGGUCUUCACCAUUGGUACAUAUGCUAAACUUGGAAUGGCAAGAAAAAUCAGCUUUAUUGAGGAAAGGCAAGCAUGCGAAUUUGGAUGGUUGUAAAGAUGAAUCAAUGGUACUUCGGGGAUGAUGAUGUUCAUCAGAUAUUGGUCCUUUCAACUUCUUGCCUAUCCUUCUAUGUAGAGAAAAUAUUUAUGUAGAGAAAAUACUUAUGAUCCUACUCUGUUUUGUUUAAGAUCAACUUUGAUGAUGUAAUGUGUCUCACAUUGAAUGAGCUGAUGUUAUAUUUAUUACCUUGGUUUUUCUCUGCCUU